RNAcentral lists this ribosomal RNA (495 nucleotides) under uncultured bacterium. RNAcentral describes it as "bacterial SSU rRNA". It matches the Rfam family "Bacterial small subunit ribosomal RNA", at positions 28 to 520 of the family's 1533-position model. The record is from RNAcentral.
GAUGAACGCUAGCGGGAGGCUUAACACAUGCAAGUCGAAGGGCAGCACGUCUUCGGAUGGUGGCGACUGGCGAACGGGUGCGUAACGCGUAUGCAACCUACCCUCAACAGGGGAAUAGCCCAGAGAAAUUUGGAUUAAUACCCCAUAGUAUUACAGAUUCGCAUGUUUCUGUGAUUAAAGUUCCAACGGUUGAGGAUGGGCAUGCGUGACAUUAGCUUGUUGGUGAGGUAACGGCUCACCAAGGCAACGAUGUCUAGGGGUUCUGAGAGGAUGAUCCCCCACACUAGUACUGAGACACGGACCAGACUCCUACGGGAGGCAGCAGUGAGGAAUAUUGGACAAUGGAGGCAACUCUGAUCCAGCCAUCCCGCGUGCAGGAAGAAGGCCCUAUGGGUUGUAAACUGCUUUUUAUACAGGAAUAAACCCCUNUACGUGUAGAGGGCUGAAGGUACUGUAAGAAUAAGCACCGGCUAACUCCGUGCCAGCAGCCGACGG